GCCGGGUGCAGUGGCACACGCCUGUAAUCCCAGCAGCUCUGGAGGCUGAGGCAGGAGGAUCCAGAGUUCAAAGCCAGCCUCUGCCAAAGCGAGGCACUAAGCAACUCAGUGAGACCCUGUCUCUA
Molecule: small RNA, 125 nt
Filed under: Marmota monax (woodchuck)
Lineage: Eukaryota; Metazoa; Chordata; Mammalia; Rodentia; Sciuridae
Source: RNAcentral